AGCUUGUUGGUAAGGUAAUGGCUUACCAAGGCUAUGACGGAUAGCUGGUCUGAGAGGAUGAUCAGUCACAAUGGAACUGAGACACGGUCCAUACUCCUACGGGAGGCAGCAGUGAGGAAUCUUCCGCAAUGGGCGCAAGCCUGACGGAGCAACACCGCGUGAAGGAUGACAGUCGUAAGAUUGUAAACUUCUUUUCUGAAGGAAGAAUUCUGACGGUACUUCAGGAAUAAGCAUCGGCUAACUACGUGCCAGCAGCCGCGGUAAGACGUAGGAUGCAAGCGUUAUCCGGAAUUAUUGGGCGUAAAGAGUUCGUAGGCGGUUAGUUAAGUUGGAUGUUAAAGCUUUGAGCUCAACUCAAAGACUGUAUCCAAAACUGGCAAACUAGAGACAGGUAGAGGCAAGUGGAAUUCUGCAUGUAGGAGUAAUAUCCGUAGAUAUGCAGAGGAACACCAAAAGCGAAGGCAGCUUGCUGGACCUGUUCUGACGCUAAAGAACGAAAGCGUGGGUAGCGAACGGGAUUAAAUACCCCGGUAGUCCACGCCCUAAACUAUGAAUACUAGGUGUUGGUGGCUUCGACCCCUCCAGUGCCGACGCUAACGCAUUAAGUAUUCCGCAUGGGUAGUACGAGCGCAAGCUUAAAACUCAAAGGAAUAGACGGGGACCCACACAAGCGGUGGAGCAUCUGGUUUAAUUCGACAAUAAGCGAGGAACCUUACCUAGACUUGACAUCCCGGGAAGAUCGCCGAAAGGUGAUUGUGCCGUUAGGAACCCGGUGACAGGUGCUGCAUGGUUGUCGUCAGCUCGUGCCUUGAGGUGUUCGGUUAAGUCCGUGAACGAGCGCAACCCUUGUCUCAAGUUGUAUAUUUCUUGAGAGACUGCCGGUUCUAAAUCGGAGGAAGGCAAGGACGACGUCAAAUCAGCAUGGCCCUUAUGUCUAGGGCGACACAGGUGCUACAAUGGCCGGUACAAUGGGCUGCUAAGGAGUAAUCUGGAGCUAAUCCCAAAAACCGGUCCAAGUUCGGAUUGAGGGCUGCAACUCGCCCUCAUGAAGUUGGAAUCGCUAGUAAACGCGUAUCAGCCAUGGCGCGUUGAAUAUGUUCCUGGGUCUUGUACUCACCGCCCGUCAAGUCACGAAAGAUGGGGGUGCCCGAAGUUCCCUUAGCUAAUUGAGCGGGGGCCUAAGGCAAAACCAUUAAUUGGGACUAAGUCGUAACAAGGUAUCCGUAGGAGAACCUGCGGAUG
Molecule: ribosomal RNA, 1242 nt
Filed under: metagenome
Description: bacterial SSU rRNA
Rfam family: Bacterial small subunit ribosomal RNA
Source: RNAcentral